AGCAGUCGCCGCGGUAAUACAGAGGGUGCGAGCGUUAAUCGGAUUUACUGGGCGUAAAGCGUGCGUAGGCGGCUUUUUAAGUCGGAUGUGAAAUCCCUGAGCUUAACUUAGGAAUUGCAUUCGAUACUGGGAAGCUAGAGUAUGGGAGAGGAUGGUAGAAUUCCAGGUGUAGCGGUGAAAUGCGUAGAGAUCUGGAGGAAUACCGAUGGCGAAGGCAGCCAUCUGGCCUAAUACUGACGCUGAGGUACGAAAGCAUGGGGAGCAAACAGGAUUAGAUACCCGCGUAGUCCCUGUCUCUUAUAA
Molecule: ribosomal RNA, 303 nt
Filed under: uncultured bacterium
Lineage: Bacteria
Description: partial 16S ribosomal RNA
Rfam family: Bacterial small subunit ribosomal RNA
Source: RNAcentral